CACCACUAGAGCUUGCUUUGCUCUCGCUCCGCUCGCUCCCACCUGUCUUCUUCCCACUAAAGUGAAAGAUCUUUCACUUCACCAUAGCAGGAACCUCGCUAACCUUCUCGGCCAGUUACUCUAACCACUGGGAUCCCUUCCAGCUUUCCCCCCCACCGUAAACGAUUACUAAAAAAAGAGUUUUUACGCUUUGCUUUCAACCGGCCCUAGAGCUUGAUCAUAGAGCGAAAGGCCUCUUUUAGUAUUUAAUAGUAGUGCAAAAAACUC
Molecule: long non-coding RNA, 267 nt
Filed under: Populus tremula
Lineage: Eukaryota; Viridiplantae; Streptophyta; Magnoliopsida; Malpighiales; Salicaceae
Description: long non-coding RNA (PTRE_LNC001017)
Source: RNAcentral